Non-coding RNA from Cyanistes caeruleus (blue tit), 361 nucleotides. Lineage: Eukaryota; Metazoa; Chordata; Aves; Passeriformes; Paridae. The record is from RefSeq and is a predicted model, not a curated record.
CACUUGGAAAUGAGUGCAAAUUAUGGGUUGCUGUUGGAACCGAGUGGACAAUGGAGAUAAAAGAGUGUGAAGAGAAACUUGACUGUUUUGAAAUUAGCUUGUUUCACCUUCCAGAAUACAGGUUAUUAAAGUUAAGAGUCACAGCAGUUUUCCAGAAUGGCCUGUUCAUGUGAAGAAAAUCAAUGAAGUUUAUUCCCUGUGACAAAGAGUGUUGUUUGGAUGAAGUCAGCCCUUUUGACCUAGCAGCAUGGAGCUUUUCUGAUUCAGGUGGGAAAACAGACCAGACUCCUAUGGUUAAAAUUGCUAUGCAGGGAUGUCAAAUCUGACCUGUUCUCAAGACCACCAUGUGUGUCUUGGGUUA